CCUACGGGCGGCAGCAGUGGGGAAUAUUGCACAAUGGGGGAAACCCUGAUGCAGCGACGCCGCGUGAGUGAAGAAGUAAUUCGUUAUGUAAAGCUCUAUCAGCAGGGAAGAAAAUGACGGUACCUGAGUAAGAAGCCCCGGCUAACUACGUGCCAGCAGCCGCGGUAAUACGUAGGGGGCAAGCGGGAUCAGGAUGUAAUGGGUGUAAGGGGAGCGUAGACGGGAGUGCAAGUCUGAAGUGAAAGGCGGGGGCUCAACCCCCGGACUGCAUGGGAAACGAUAGGGGUGGAGGGAAGGAGUGGGAAUGGGGAGGACUUGGGGAGAGGUGAAAGGCGGAGAGAGAAGGAAGAAAACGAGUGGAGAAGGAGGAUGAAGGGAAGGUAACGGAAGGUGAGGAGAGAAAGCGUGGGGAGAAAACAGGAGUAGAGAACAUUGUAGGG
This 440-nucleotide ribosomal RNA is filed under the name uncultured bacterium. Its description in RNAcentral is "partial 16S ribosomal RNA". The stretch from base 1 to 185 matches the Rfam family "Bacterial small subunit ribosomal RNA", at positions 338 to 540 of the family's 1533-position model. The record is from RNAcentral.